AACAAUAAGCGGAGGAAAAGAAACCAACAGGGAUUGCCCUAGUAACGGCGAGUGAAGCGGCAACAGCUCAAAUUUGAAAUCUGGCCUCACGGUCCGAAUUGUAAUUUGUAGAGGAUGUUUCUGGCGACGUGUCUUCCGAGUUCCCUGGAACGGGACGCCAUAGAGGGUGAGAGCCCCGUCCGGUCGUACACCUAGCCUCUGUGAAACUCCUUCGACGAGUCGAGUAGUUUGGGAAUGCUGCUCUAAAUGGGAGGUAUACGUCUUCUAAAGCUAAAUACCGGCCAGAGACCGAUAGCGCACAAGUAGAGUGAUCGAAAGAUGAAAAGCACUUUGAAAAGAGGGUUAAAUAGUACGUGAAAUUGCUGAAAGGGAAGCGCUUAUGACCAGCUUGGGCUCGGUGAAUCAUCCGGCGUUCUCGCCGGUGCACUUUGCCGUCCCAGGCCAGCAUCAGUUCGCGCCGGGGGAUAAGGUUUCGGGAAUGUAGCUCCCUCGGGAGUGUUAUAGCCCGUUGCGUAAUACCCUGGCGUGGACUGAGGUCCGCGCUCUGCAAGGAUGCUGGCGUAAUGGUCAUCAGUGACCCGUCUUGAAACACGGACCAAGGAGUCGUCUUCGUAUGCGAGUGUUCGGGUGUCAAACCCCUACGCGUAAUGAAAGUGAACGUAGGAGAGAGCUUCGGCGCAUCUCCGACCGAUCCUGAUGUUCUCGGAUGGAUUUGAGUAAGAGCAUACGGGGCCGGACCCGAAAGAAGGUGAACUAUGCCUGUAUAGGGUGAAGCCAGAGGAAACUCUGGUGGAGGCUCGCAGCGGUUCUGACGUGCAAAUCGAUCGUCAAAUAUGGGCAUGGGGGCGAAAGACUAAUCGAACUGCUUGCUAGUAGCUGGUUUC
Molecule: ribosomal RNA, 884 nt
Filed under: Albophoma yamanashiensis
Lineage: Eukaryota; Fungi; Ascomycota; Sordariomycetes; Hypocreales; Ophiocordycipitaceae
Description: partial large subunit ribosomal RNA
Rfam family: Eukaryotic large subunit ribosomal RNA
Source: RNAcentral